Molecule: non-coding RNA, 2559 nt
Organism: Peromyscus maniculatus bairdii (prairie deer mouse)
Lineage: Eukaryota; Metazoa; Chordata; Mammalia; Rodentia; Cricetidae
Source: RefSeq, a predicted model, not a curated record
GCCCCCCCAACCCUCCCCCCCCCACCUCGCAGGGCCAAGGCCUGCCAGAACUGGGCUCAGCCCCAGGAAGAAGCAUCCCCCCCUCUUCCAGGCCACAGCCUGGCCGGCUCUCAGCUCUAUUUUUAGCUCCAUGGAAAGGGUUGUUUUUCUUUCUUUUUCCCUGGAAAGGGAAACACAGCCCAGCCACCCUCAGGCUCACUCCAGCCCCUCAGCUUCGUAAGGGCAGACUGAACCCCUCUCCCCGAUGGAGACCCCCUCCUCUGGCCUUGCCCUGAUCCCUGCCUCCCGGGGCACCGAGAGCCUCCUCCUCCCCUUUCUGGCUGCCUGCCCAGAAGCUCAGGCAGCAGCUGGGCUCAGCGUGUGGCGGGGAUGCUGGCUCCGAGAAUGUGUCACCGAGCAGGAAGGCAAGGAGUCCAAGCAACCCCACCCCGCCCAAUACUCUCCCGGCCUCCUGAGCCACCCAAGCCCCCAGGGGCGCUGAGCUCCCAUUCUGGGUGAGAGAGUUGAUCAUCAUCCCAGGUGGAGUAUGGAAUAAAGCCCCGUACAGGGAAGCAAGCAUGCCGGGACUGGGGGAGAAGUGGACGAGAGAGUAUCCCCGCCUAGACAGGGUUAGGGGGGCACUGCCCACCGGGCUGCGAAGCAGUCACGUGCUCAUCGCCUGUUUACGCCUUGGUCUUCACCUGCAGGCAAGCGGCCGGGAAGCAGGAACCGCCUGAUGCGACAAACCCCGCCCGCCCCCGCCGACAGUCUCAGGGCGGCCCCUUUCCCUCGGCCCCGGGCAGAACAACUCAGCGUCCAUCUCUCCCGGGGUCGCGCGGGCCGGUGGCACUGCCUCUGGGACUGCUAGGGUACCUCGCUCUGCUUGUCCCUCCCUGAGCGCACGUGUGUUCGUGUCCUGAGCGAAUGCAUGGGUCGGUGCAUGGGUGUGUGUUGGUGCGUCUGUAAGUUUCCCUGUCCCUUUGCUAUUCAGGCUUUGCCUGCGCUCCAUAGAGUGCGGACCCCUUCCUCAUCCCAAUCCCGUUUCUCAAGACACGGAAAGUUCUCUCCAGAGCGAGCAUGUGCGGAGGCCGGAGUUCCUGCACCCCGUCCGCCCACCACUCACCCAGCGUCACCUGCGCCGCGGCUCCCUCUGUGGCCGGGCUCCGACUCCAGCGUGCCUACUUCCUCGCCGCGAUAGACCUCUGGCUCCCCAGCCCUCUCGGGGCUCCGGGCUCCGCGCUCCCGGCUCCCGGCUGCCGGCUCCCGCCAGGCCGGACCUGGAAGAGUGGGGCGGGGCGGCUGAAGCCGCGCCCCCCCCACCCAGAGAGGGGAGUGGUCUGCCCCGCACCCUCGAACAGCCAACCCAGUACCACCCCAAAAGUAGCCCGACCCAGUACCCAGCCCCAAAGUAGGCUGACGGUGGUCUACGCUCUGGCCUGUUGGCUGCACAGCGUACCGACUUUUGACCUAGGGGGAGGGCAGAUAUGACCGACGGCUAAGCUACCUGGCUGCCUUACUAAGGGCCUAUAAAUCCGGUCCACUCUGCCCAGAGCCAGAAGAGGGAAAAUCCCUGUGAAGCAGACAAAGAACUCUCGAGUUUCAUAACCCCCACCACACACACACACACACACACACACACACACACUCGCGCGCACACACUGGGACUGUUCUAGCAGAACUAGUACCGCCCCAUUCCCUGGAGUAGUUAUCAGCCCAGGUGAGAAGCUGUAGUCCUGGUCCCCCAUAGGGCAAGGCUAGGCUUCCCUUAGACUCAUAAAGUCCCACCCACAGGCCCAAACAGGAAGUUGGCCUGUAUUUUAGGGAGGUGCCGAGGGCUCCCUUCCUCCCUGGCAUACCAGGUACAUUGUGGAAGGGCUUAAGUUUACAGCUACCUGAACCAUACCCACUGCCUGAGCAGUUGGGCCACAGGAGACCAAGGUGAGUUUGGUCUCUUCUCAAAUCCACCGCAGUAACAGCUACUGAAGACCUAAAGUAAAGCUGCCUCCUCACAGCCCUGUGCGACACAGUGUCGGUCUGAAAACAGGGCUACAGAUCCAAUUUGACCCUGCUGGGCCAGACCUUUCCAGGAGGUCUCUGGGACAUUAAGUCAGCUGAACACAGAAUUACAUGGUUCAUCCCAGGCUCCAAUGGCUCCUGAACACACUCCGUGCUGGAUCUUGCCGUGGGGAGUUUUCGGCAGACCCUGGAUGAGGCCCAGAGCAGCCAACUGCUGGGAAUGAUUACUGCAGGAUGAGAGGCCCGGCUCCAGCCAGUCUGGAAGAGACCCCCAAGAAGGCAGACCCUGGAGGAGCUACCCCCACCCCUAGGUUCUUCCCAACAACAGCUUUGCAAAAAUUCGCUUCAGCUCUUUAUGGCUAGAGUUCUCAGAAACCCCGGACUCUUCCCUCUGGUUCUAAAAGCUUCCUCUUGGGUUGACUUGAAAGAUUACUCUUCCUCCUGGGAGUAAAAAAACCUCCCCUAUACCUGAAGCAGAGGCUUCCCAGCACCCCCAAUCUGAACAUCUUGAAGUUGGUCCUUUAGAGUAUCAGAGGAAGUGAGAUAAAAAGGUCAUUAGCAAUA